GAUGAACGCUGGCGGCGUGCCUAAUACAUGCAAGUCGAGCGAACGGACGAGAAGCUUGCUUCUCUGAUGUUAGCGGCGGACGGGUGAGUAACACGUGGAUAACCUACCUAUAAGACUGGGAUAACUUCGGGAAACCGUAGCUAAUACCGGAUAAUAUUUUGAACCGCAUGGUUCAAAAGUGAAAGACGGUCUUGCUGUCACUUAUAGAUGGAUCCGCGCUGCAUUAGCUAGUUGGUAAGGUAACGGCUUACCAAGGCAACGAUGCAUAGCCGACCUGAGAGGGUGAUCGGCCACACUGGAACUGGGACACGGUCCAGACUCCUACGGGAGGCAGCAGUAGGGAAUCUUACGCAGUGGGCGAAAGCCUGACGGAGCAGCGCCGCGUGAGUGAUGAAGGUCUUCGGAUCGUAAAACUCUGUUAUGAGGGAAGAACAUAUGUGUAAGUAACUGUGCACAUCUUGACGGUACCUAAUCAGAAAGCCACGGCUAACUACGUG
Molecule: ribosomal RNA, 497 nt
Filed under: uncultured bacterium
Lineage: Bacteria
Description: partial 16S ribosomal RNA
Rfam family: Bacterial small subunit ribosomal RNA
Source: RNAcentral